RNAcentral lists this ribosomal RNA (339 nucleotides) under Triticum aestivum (bread wheat). RNAcentral's name for it is "partial small subunit ribosomal RNA". The record is from RNAcentral. Lineage: Eukaryota; Viridiplantae; Streptophyta; Magnoliopsida; Poales; Poaceae.
AUGAAUAUCUUAAGUUGGAACUGCCGGGGAGCAGGGAAUACCCGGACAGUUCGAGAACUUGCGACUCUUUGCCAGUCGCAUUCCCCCACUCUGGUCUUCUUAUGUGAGACGAGGCAAAAAGAAGAAAAGAUGAGAAGACUAAGGGGUCAUUUGGGUUUGAAAGGAUUUUCUGGUGUGGAUAGUAGUGGUUUGAGUGGUGGUUUGGCACUGUUUUGGCAUGAAUCAUAUGAUGUACAAGUGUUGGACAAGAAUGAACGGUAUAUUGAUGCAUUAGUUCGAGUCCACCGUGAUGCUGCACAAUGGAGAGUAACAUGCAUAUAUGGAGAGCCGAGAAUUUAG